GUUGAACGCUGGCGGCAUGCCUAACACAUGCAAGUCGAGCGGACGAAGGGAGCUUUCUCCUGUUUUCAGCGACGGACGGGUGGGUAAUGCCUAGGAAUCUGCCUGGUAUUGGGGGAUAACGUCCGGUCACGGGCGCUAAUACCGCAUACGUUCUGAGUGAGAAAGUGGUGGAUCUUCGGACCUCACUCUAUCAGAUGAGCCUAGGUCGGAUUCGCUAGUUGGUGGGGUAACGGCCUACCAAGGCGACGAUCCGUAACUGGUCUGAGAGGAUGAUCAGUCACACUGGAACUGAGACACGGUCCAGACUCCUACGGGAGGCAGCAGUGGGGAAUAUUGGGCAAUGGGCGAAAGCCUGAUCCAGCAACGCCGCGUGUGUGAAGAAGGUCUUCGGAUUGUAAAGCACUGUAAGUUGGGAGGAAGGGCAGUAAGUUAAUACGUUGAUGUUUUGACGUUACCAACAGAAUAAGCACCGGCUAACUUCGUG
Molecule: ribosomal RNA, 484 nt
Filed under: uncultured bacterium
Lineage: Bacteria
Description: partial 16S ribosomal RNA
Rfam family: Bacterial small subunit ribosomal RNA
Source: RNAcentral